CCUAAGUUUGAGCACUUAAACAAUUUGCAUCCUAAGUUUUAGCACACCCUAAUAGUAACUAAAACAGUAACUGCAUUUGAAGAGGCAGGACAAUAACAUUAAGUAGAAUCUUUUUCCUCAUUCUUUCUAGUUUUAUUUUAUGGAAUCAAGGUGGAUUUCGGUCCUCUUAGAGCAUCCAACUAAUCCAUCAACCAACACGAACCAGCCCGCAAGAGCGCAGCACCAGGCGCAUACAUAGCAUUUGAGGAUACCACAAGGUUUCAAAAUGUUACCUCCCGUUAUUUUUCUGGAGAGAGAGAGAGAGAGAGAUCAACAUAUGAAGAUAUGUUGAAGCAAAAAUUCACUUCUUGCAACUUUAUACGCCCUAAAAAACUUUAAAGAAGAUAUACUAUCAGAAAAUUGUGGAUAAAAGACAGAAAUGAAGUUUUUCAGAGCAUGGAAUCCAUUGAGAAUUAGAGGGAAAGAAUAAGACCUUACAUUUAAAAAGGUAGGUGUGGUUUUAUGG
RNAcentral lists this long non-coding RNA (505 nucleotides) under Panax ginseng (ginseng). Its description in RNAcentral is "long non-coding RNA (PGIN_LNC014839)". The record is from RNAcentral. Lineage: Eukaryota; Viridiplantae; Streptophyta; Magnoliopsida; Apiales; Araliaceae.